GUGCUUGCUUAAGCAGCACAUGUACUAAAAUUGGAACGAUACAGAGAAGAUUAGCAUGGCCCCUAUGCAAAGACGACACACAAAUUCAUGAAGCAGUCCAUAUUUUU
Gorilla gorilla gorilla (western lowland gorilla) is the source of this 107-nucleotide small nuclear RNA. The record is from Ensembl. NCBI's taxonomy places the organism in Eukaryota, Metazoa, Chordata, Mammalia, Primates, Hominidae.